GACGAACCGUGCGAACGUUGUUCGGAAUCACUGGGCUUAAAGGGCGCGUAGGCGGGCCGGCCAGUCGGGGGUGAAAUCCUCCAGCUCAACUGGAGAACAGCUUUCGAUACUGCCGGCCUCGAAUGGGGUAGGGGCACGCGGAACGAUGGGUGGAGCGGUGAAAUGCGUUGAUAUCCAUCGGAACUCCGGUGGCGAAGGCGGCGUGCUGGACCUCGAUUGACGCUGAGGCGCGAAAGCCAGGGGAGCGAACGGG
Molecule: ribosomal RNA, 253 nt
Filed under: uncultured bacterium
Lineage: Bacteria
Description: partial 16S ribosomal RNA
Rfam family: Bacterial small subunit ribosomal RNA
Source: RNAcentral